Molecule: ribosomal RNA, 501 nt
Filed under: uncultured Glomeromycotina
Lineage: Eukaryota; Fungi; Glomeromycota
Description: partial small subunit ribosomal RNA
Rfam family: Eukaryotic small subunit ribosomal RNA
Source: RNAcentral
CCAAUAGCGUAUAUUAAAGUUGUUGCAGUUAAAAAGCUCGUAGUUGAAUUUCGGGAUCAAUAUAACGGUCAUGCCGUUGGUAUGCACUGUUAUAAUUGAUUUCUCACCUUCUAAAGAACCGUAAUGCCAUUAAUUUGGUGUCACGGGGAAUUAGGACUGUUACCUUGAAAAAAUUAGAGUGUUUAAAGCAGGCUCACGCUUGAAUACAUUAGCAUGGAAUAAUGAAAUAGGACAUCCGAUUCUAUUUUGUUGGUUUCUAGGAUCGAUGUAAUGAUUAAUAGGGAUAGUUGGGGGCAUUAGUAUUCAAUUGUCAGAGGUGAAAUUCUUGGAUUUAUUGAAGACUAACUACUGCGAAAGCAUUUGCCAAGGAUGUUUUCAUUAAUCAAGAACGAAAGUUAGGGGAUCGAAGACGAUCAGAUACCGUCGUAGUCUUAACCAUAAACUAUGCCGACUAGGGAUCGGAUGAUGUUAAUUUUUUAAUGACUCAUUCGGCGCCUUACG